This 253-nucleotide ribosomal RNA is filed under the name uncultured bacterium. Its description in RNAcentral is "partial 16S ribosomal RNA". It matches the Rfam family "Bacterial small subunit ribosomal RNA", at positions 524 to 776 of the family's 1533-position model. The record is from RNAcentral.
GACGGAGGAUGCAAGCGUUAUCCGGAAUUAUUGGGCGUAAAGCGUCCGCAGGUGGCUGUUCAAGUCUGCUGUCAAAGCGCAGAGCUUAGCUCUGUACAGGCGGUGGAAACUGAAGAGCUAGAGUAUGGUAGGGGUAGAGGGAAUUCCCGGUGUAGCGGUGAAAUGCGUAGAUAUCGGGAAGAACACCAGUGGCGAAAGCGCUCUACUGGGCCAUAACUGACACUGAGGGACGAAAGCUAGGGGAGCGAAAGGG